CUGAGUUACCGCUCUAUAACCCUUUGUGAACAUACCUAACUGUUGCUUCGGCGGGUUAGGGGGUCCCCCCGGGGACGCCCUCCCGGCCGCGCCCUCCUCCUCCGGGAGGGGUCGCGGCGCCCGCCGGAGGAUAACCAAACUCUGAUUUAACGACGUUUCUUCUGAGUGGCACAAGCAAAUAAUUA
Molecule: unclassified non-coding RNA, 185 nt
Filed under: Colletotrichum sublineola
Lineage: Eukaryota; Fungi; Ascomycota; Sordariomycetes; Glomerellales; Glomerellaceae
Source: RNAcentral